This 95-nucleotide transfer RNA is filed under the name Cephalotrichum gorgonifer. RNAcentral describes it as "transfer RNA-Ile(AAT)". It matches the Rfam family "tRNA". Rfam says of the family: Transfer RNA (tRNA) molecules are approximately 80 nucleotides in length. Their secondary structure includes four short double-helical elements and three loops (D, anti-codon, and T loops). Lineage: Eukaryota; Fungi; Ascomycota; Sordariomycetes; Microascales; Microascaceae. The record is from RNAcentral.
GGUCUGUUAGCUCAGUUGGUUAGAGCGUGGUACUAAUAAGCUAUCCGGCUUAGCAGUAAAUGCCAAGGUCAUGAGUUCGACCCUCAUACGGACCA